UUUUUUUCAAUUCUAUCCAAUUGAUACUAUCACGUCAGAAAUUGCUAAAAGGUCUAUUUGAGUAGGGCAUAAAUCAGUUGAUGUGUAACUAAAAAAGAAUAUUUUAAUAUCUAUUUACAUAUUUAUUACUCCCUCCGUCCCUAAUUAUUUGACGUUUUAGAGUUUUUCAUUUAUCCAUAAGUAUUUGACGUUUGUUCAAAUAUAGGAGAAUUCAUGACAAUUUUUCCAAAAUUACCCCUCAUUACUCUGCCUAUUUUUUUUAUACUUUAAACUCUUCCUCCCUCCUUAUCUCAACAAAACUCUCCUUAUCCCAAAAAUUUUUUUUAAGGUAUUAUAGACAAUUGAGUAUUAUAUUUAAUGCUUUCAAUUAUUAUCUUAAUUUUUGUGUCCACUUCUAAAAUGUCAAAUAAUUAGGGAUGGAGGGAGUAUAUAUUAAAGGGCAAAUUCGUCAAUCCACUUUAUAUUAAUUAUUUAUAAUAGAAAUAAUAAAAGAAAUGCUUAACCAAACAACUUGUUCGAAUCAAAUCAGAUAUGGUGUUAUUUAACAGUAGUGUGUUUUAAUGAUCAUGAGUAAGUUACUUCGGCAGAUUCUUCUUCUACUAUAGCCACCAGUGGCGGCGGAGGCUCAAAACCUUGGGCUCUAAGAGAGAAAGGAAAGAGAAGAGAGAAAGAUACGAAUUCAGUAAGAUAAGAGAAAAACACGAUAUAUAAAUGAGUCAUUCUAG
RNAcentral lists this long non-coding RNA (725 nucleotides) under Panax ginseng (ginseng). Its description in RNAcentral is "long non-coding RNA (PGIN_LNC019003)". The record is from RNAcentral. Lineage: Eukaryota; Viridiplantae; Streptophyta; Magnoliopsida; Apiales; Araliaceae.